GGUCAAGCUAGAAAGAGCGCAGGGUGGAUGCCUUGGCACUAAGAGCCGAUGAAAGACGUGAUAAGCUGCGAAAAGCUUCGGGGAGGAGCAAAUAUCCUUUGAUCCGGAGAUCUCUGAAUGGGGAAACCUGGCUGAGCAAUCCUCAGUCGUCGUAUGGUGAAUCCAUAGCCAUACGUCGGGAACCCGGUGAACUGAAACAUCUAAGUAGCCGGAGGAAAAGAAAGAAACAUCGAUUUCCAAAGUAGCGGCGAGCGAAAUGGAAGGAGCCUAAACCGCGGUGCGUGCACCGCGGGGUUAUGGACCGCGAUAAGUGAGGCGAUUCAUUAGUGGAACUGUCUGGGAAGUCAGGCCAGAGAGGGUGAAAGCCCCGUACACGAAAAUGAUAGCCAGCGAGC
Molecule: non-coding RNA, 395 nt
Filed under: Lachnoclostridium sp. An14
Lineage: Bacteria; Bacillati; Bacillota; Clostridia; Lachnospirales; Lachnospiraceae
Description: Bacterial large subunit ribosomal RNA
Rfam family: Bacterial large subunit ribosomal RNA
Source: Rfam by way of RNAcentral